CUCUAAAUCUCACCUGAAAUCGAUCCGCUGCGCCAGAAAAUGGCCUUCGGCGUCAGCGAAGCCCAAAACACAAUGAACCACCACCACUAAACUUGUCUCAUCUCCCUCUUCCAAUUUCUAACCCUUGAUUAUCCCACAACUCAACCUAAACCCUUUUUUAUACCCUAAUUAGAUAGAACCCUAGAAAUUUUAAACAAAAAUUAAAUGGCAAAGAUUCAUGAAUUCAGAGAAAGACCUUGGGGCUAUGCUUUGGUAAUACAAGCUUUACAAGGUGAUAACAACAAUUUGUAAGAAAGAUGAAGAAUCUUACUUACUCACAGAGCUGAGGAUUUCCCUGGUCAAAGUAGGAGUUGAAGAAGAAGAUGAAUAAAACCAGAGAUUCUUGAUUCCCAUCGGUUAUGCAGGCCAAAUGGUGUAUGAACUGAGAUAUGCUUGGUCAAUCUUGUGUUGGGUAUACAUCUUGUUCAUUUUAAUGCAACCUGAUGUGCAAGCUUUGGACAUGUAAUGAAGUUUGGUAAUGGCAUAAGGUUGAACAUAGAGUAUGCAUCAUGGGUAUGAAGUACACUUGGUUACACAUGAAGCAAUGAUCAUGAAUAUUGGUGACAUUUAGGAUCAUGAUGGACAUGAAGUUGAAGAAGAAUAGAUCUAAGGUAGAUUUAGGAUUAGGUCAAACUCAGGCCAAGGCUUGGUCAACUAUUUGAUCAAAAGUUAAUAGUUGACCAAAAGUCAAUUGUAUAAAAAAAAGUGUAAUUUCUUUGUAAUUUUGCAAUAGCCUUGUAACUUGUAUUUGAACUUUUGCACUUUGACUUGUAAAUGACUUGUAACUUAUCAUUUA
This is a long non-coding RNA of Lathyrus oleraceus (garden pea), 835 nucleotides long. RefSeq lists it as uncharacterized. The transcript has 3 exons. The record is from RefSeq and is a predicted model, not a curated record. Lineage: Eukaryota; Viridiplantae; Streptophyta; Magnoliopsida; Fabales; Fabaceae.